This 440-nucleotide ribosomal RNA is filed under the name uncultured bacterium. Its description in RNAcentral is "partial 16S ribosomal RNA". It matches the Rfam family "Bacterial small subunit ribosomal RNA", at positions 338 to 795 of the family's 1533-position model. The record is from RNAcentral.
CCUACGGGUGGCAGCAGUGGGGAAUAUUGCACAAUGGGGGAAAGCCUGAUGCAGCGACGCCGCGUGAGUGAAGAAGUCUCUCGGUAUGUAAAGCUCUAUCAGCAGGGAAGAAAAUGACGGUACCUGACUAAGAAGCCCUUGCUAACUACGUGCCAGCAGCCGCGGUAAUACGUAGUGGGCAAGCGUUAGCCGGAUCGACUGGGUGGAAAGGGAGCGUAGACGGCGCUGCAAGUCCGGAGUGAAAGCCCAUGGCUUAACCAUGGUACUGCUCUGGAUACUGUGGAGCUUGAGUGCGGGAGAGGCAGGCGGAAUUCCUGGUGUAGCGGUGAAAUGCGUAGAUAUUAGGAGGAACACCGGCGGCGAAGGCGGCCUGCUGGACCGUAACUGACGUUGAGGUGCGAAAGCGUGGGGAGCAAACAGGAUUAGAUACCCUAGUAGUC